UACGUAGGGUGCAAGCGUUGUCCGGAAUUAUUGGGCGUAAAGAGCUCGUAGGCGGUCUGUCGCGUCUGCUGUGAAAACUCGGGGCUUAACCCCGGGCCUGCAGUGGGUACGGGCAGACUAGAGUGCGGUAGGGGGAGACUGGAAUUCCUGGUGUAGCGGUGAAAUGCGCAGAUAUCAGGAGGAACACCGAUGGCGAAGGCAGGUCUCUGGGCAUUAACUGACGCUGGAGGAGCGGAAAGCAUGGGGAGCGAACAGG
Molecule: ribosomal RNA, 256 nt
Filed under: uncultured bacterium
Lineage: Bacteria
Description: partial 16S ribosomal RNA
Rfam family: Bacterial small subunit ribosomal RNA
Source: RNAcentral